GGUUCCAUAGUGUAGCGGUUAGCAUGCGUGCUUUACACGCAGGAGGUCCUGGGUUCACACUGCAGUGGAGCCA
RNAcentral lists this transfer RNA (73 nucleotides) under Pteropus alecto (black flying fox). It matches the Rfam family "tRNA". Rfam says of the family: Transfer RNA (tRNA) molecules are approximately 80 nucleotides in length. Their secondary structure includes four short double-helical elements and three loops (D, anti-codon, and T loops). The record is from Rfam by way of RNAcentral. Lineage: Eukaryota; Metazoa; Chordata; Mammalia; Chiroptera; Pteropodidae.